RNAcentral lists this ribosomal RNA (497 nucleotides) under uncultured bacterium. Its description in RNAcentral is "partial 16S ribosomal RNA". It matches the Rfam family "Bacterial small subunit ribosomal RNA", at positions 28 to 507 of the family's 1533-position model. The record is from RNAcentral.
GAUGAACGCUGGCGGCGUGCCUAAUACAUGCAAGUCGAGCGAACGGACGAGAAGCUUGCUUCUCUGAUGUUAUCGGCGGACGGGUGAGUAACACGUGGAUAGCCUACCUAUAAGACUGGGAUAACUUCGGGAAACCGGAGCUAAUACCGGAUAAUAUUUUGAACCGCAUGGUUCAAAAGUGAAAGACGGUCUUGCUGUCACUUAUAGAUGGAUCCGCGCUGCAUUAGCUAGUUGGUAAGGUAACGGCUUACCAAGGCAACGAUGCAUAGCCGACCUGAGAGGGUGAUCGGCCACACUGGAACUGAGACACGGUCCAGACUCCUACGGGAGGCAGCAGUAGGGAAUCUUCCGCAAUGGGCGAAAGCCUGACGGAGCAACGCCGCGUGAGUGAUGAAGGUCUUCGGAUCGUAAAACUCUGUUAUUAGGGAAGAACAUAUGUGUAAGUAACUGUGCACAUCUUGACGGUACCUAAUCAGAAAGCCACGGCUAACUACGUG